AACGAACGCUGGCGGCAGGCCUAACACAUGCAAGUCGAGCGAGGUAGCAAUACCUAGCGGCGGACGGGUGAGUAACGCGUGGGAACGUGCCCUUUGCUUCGGAAUAGCCCCGGGAAACUGGGAGUAAUACCGAAUGUGCCCUUCGGGGGAAAGAUUUAUCGGCAAAGGAUCGGCCCGCGUUGGAUUAGGUAGUUGGUGGGGUAAUGGCCUACCAAGCCGACGAUCCAUAGCUGGUUUGAGAGGAUGAUCAGCCACACUGGGACUGAGACACGGCCCAGACUCCUACGGGAGGCAGCAGUGGGGAAUCUUAGACAAUGGGCGCAAGCCUGAUCUAGCCAUGCCGCGUGAUCGAUGAAGGCCUUAGGGUUGUAAAGAUCUUUCAGGUGGGAAGAUAAUGACUGUACCACCAGAAGAAGCCCCGGCUAACUCCGUGCCAGCAGCCGCGGUAA
This 449-nucleotide ribosomal RNA is filed under the name uncultured bacterium. RNAcentral describes it as "partial 16S ribosomal RNA". It matches the Rfam family "Bacterial small subunit ribosomal RNA", at positions 29 to 523 of the family's 1533-position model. The record is from RNAcentral.